GAAACCGAGUCUUAAUUGGGCGUUAAGUUGCAGGGUAUAGACCCGAAACCCGGUGAUCUAGCCAUGGGCAGGUUGAAGGUUGGGUAACACUAACUGGAGGACCGAACCGACUAAUGUUGAAAAAUUAGCGGAUGACCUGUGGCUGGGGGUGAAAGGCCAAUCAAACCGGGAGAUAGCUGGUUCUCCCCGAAAGCUAUUUAGGUAGCGCCUCGUGAAUUCAUCUCCGGGGGUAGAGCACUGUUUCGGCUAGGGGGCCAUCCCGGCUUACCAACCCGAUGCAAACUGCGAAUACCGGAGAAUGUUAUCACGGGAGACACACGGCGGGUGCUAACGUCCGUCGUGAAGAGGGAAACAACCCAGACCGCCAGCUAAGGUCCCAAAGUCAUGGUUAAGUGGGAAACGAUGUGGGAAGGCCCAGACAGCCAGGAUGUUGGCUUAGAAGCAGCCAUCAUUUAAAGAAAGCGUAAUAGCUCACUGGUCGAGUCGGCCUGCGCGGAAGAUGUAACGGGGCUAAACCAUGCACCGAAGCUGCGGCAGCGACGCUGAUGCGUUGUUGGGUAGGGGAGCGUUCUGUAAGCCUGUGAAGGUGGCCUGUGAGGGUUGCUGGAGGUAUCAGAAGUGCGAAUGCUGACAUAAGUAACGAUAAAGCGGGUGAAAAGCCCGCUCGCCGGAAGACCAAGGGUUCCUGUCCAACGUUAAUCGGGGCAGGGUGAGUCGACCCCUAAGGCGAGGCCGAAAGGCGUAGUCGAUGGGAAACGGGUUAAUAUUCCCGUACUUGGUGUUACUGCGAAGGGGGGACGGAGAAGGCUAUGUUGGCCGGGCGA
Molecule: ribosomal RNA, 824 nt
Filed under: Salmonella enterica subsp. enterica serovar Oranienburg
Lineage: Bacteria; Pseudomonadati; Pseudomonadota; Gammaproteobacteria; Enterobacterales; Enterobacteriaceae
Description: partial 23S ribosomal RNA
Rfam family: Bacterial large subunit ribosomal RNA
Source: RNAcentral